RNAcentral lists this ribosomal RNA (472 nucleotides) under Streptococcus gordonii. RNAcentral describes it as "bacterial SSU rRNA". It matches the Rfam family "Bacterial small subunit ribosomal RNA", at positions 28 to 474 of the family's 1533-position model. The record is from RNAcentral. Lineage: Bacteria; Bacillati; Bacillota; Bacilli; Lactobacillales; Streptococcaceae.
GACGAACGCUGGCGGCGUGCCUAAUACAUGCAAGUAGAACGCACAGUUUAUACCGUAGCUUGCUACACCAUAGACUGUGAGUUGCGAACGGGUGAGUAACGCGUAGGUAACCUGCCGGGUAGCGGGGGAUAACUAUUGGAAACGAUAGCUAAUACCGCAUAAUAUUGAUUAUUGCAUGAUAAUUGGUUGAAAGAUGCUAUUGCAUCACUACCAGAUGGACCUGCGUUGUAUUAGCUAGUAGGUGAGGUAACGGCUCACCUAGGCGACGAUACAUAGCCGACCUGAGAGGGUGAUCGGCCACACUGGGACUGAGACACGGCCCAGACUCCUACGGGAGGCAGCAGUAGGGAAUCUUCGGCAAUGGACGAAAGUCUGACCGAGCAACGCCGCGUGAGUGAAGAAGGUUUUCGGAUCGUAAAGCUCUGUUGUAAGAGAAGAACGGGUGUGAGAGUGGAAAGUUCACACUGUGACG